This 439-nucleotide ribosomal RNA is filed under the name uncultured bacterium. RNAcentral describes it as "partial 16S ribosomal RNA". It matches the Rfam family "Bacterial small subunit ribosomal RNA", at positions 339 to 795 of the family's 1533-position model. The record is from RNAcentral.
CUACGGGGUGCUGCAGUGAGGAAUAUUGCACAAUGGGGGAAACCCUGAUGCAGCAACGCCGCGUGGAGGAUGACGCAUUUCGGUGUGUAAACUCCUUUUAUGAGUCAAGAAAAUGACGGUAGCUCAUGAAUAAGCACCGGCUAACUCCGUGCCAGCAGCCGCGGUAAUACGGAGGGUGCAAGCGUUACUCGGAAUCACUGGGCGUAAAGGACGCGUAGGCGGGCUUGUAAGUCAGGUGUGAAAUCCUACAGCUUAACUGUAGAACUGCACUUGAAACUACGAGCCUAGAGUAUGGGAGGGGCAGAUGGAAUUAGUGGUGUAGGGGUAAAAUCCGUAGAUAUCACUAGGAAUACCGAAAGCGAAGGCGAUCUGCUGGAACAUUACUGACGCUAAGGCGUGAAAGCGUGGGGAGCAAACGGGAUUAGAUACCCGGGUAGUC